AAAACAUCAAUUGAAUGUUAGAGAUACAAUUUGUGUUCUUGUAUGUGUGACUAUGUAUCUUUGUACAAGAGUAUAUUCUGUUUACAACAAAACUAUACACAAAACAAAAAAGGGAAAUAAUUAAAUGUCAUCCACAUGGAUGAAUCAAAAUGGCUUCUUAAGGUGCAUGAAAUCCAAUGAUGAUGAAUCAACACACUCAGCUUUGCUCCUAUAACCAUUCAACAAUUUCAACAACUCAGUAGCUUUCUCCUUUGUAUUCUCACCACAACCAACUUGCAGUAAAACAAGCAAUUUCUGAAACAUCCCAACUUGAAUUGCCUCAAUCAAAACACCUUGAAUUGCGCAGGAAGCUCCGGUGGAUGAAGAUGUUCCGGAGUCGGCUCCGGCUUCCUCUUUUUCGUCCGUGGAUGGGGUUGGUUUGACGACACCUUUUAUGGAGGGAAGAUAAUCCCACUGUCACAAAUUUCAAAAUUCGUCUGUCACCUUUUAUGGUUUGACGGCAUCUACUCUCGUGUGUUUGUUAAUUUGUUCUUGUAGUGCUUUUGGGUUUUUUAUUUGAACUGGGCCAAGUUCUUAGACUUGUUGCACCUCCUUUUCGAAGGUGUGUUUGUUAAUUUGUUCUUGUCCCAUGUUUAUCCUAACUUUUCGGUUGAUGCUGUUCCCAAUUAAAUAAAUACGGUAAUUUGUUGGAUUUCAAAUUUUAGUAUUAAAAAUUUGUGCGAUCGUUGUAUCAAUGGCGUUGGUGAGGGAUUUCGACCGUAGAGGAUAGCCACUCCUCCUUUCUCAAAUAUGUCACUUUGACAAUUUUAUAUAAAUUAAAAUAUAUUGUUAAUGUUGUAUAAAAAUAUAAAAAUUAUAAGUUAUUUUAUCUGAAUUCCUUUUAUUUCUCUGGUUACCGUGCGUGCGUGCGAUUUCUGUUGUUGUUUUGUUUAUUUGCAUUAGGGAUUUUAAAUCUCUUUUUUUUUUCUUUUAUUUUUUUUACAUGGGCUAAACCAUAUAAACCAUAUUUUUUUUAUGGCUAUUAGUUGAUGAACCCGAGUCUUUUUUAUUCUAAUUGUACUUAAUCACAAACGCUAGAUAGUGAGUUAAAAAAAAAAAGUUAAGAUUCCUUUGAUAGAAUUAUAUUGUGUGCUUAGCACUAAGUGAUGGAGUUUUGACUUGGAGAAUUUUAAGUGAUAGUUUAAUGUUGUGACUUUAUGAUCAAUGGGUUUUGUGGAAAGUCAACAGUUAGACUAAGAUUUUCUUUUUGUUAUGUGGUUUGAUUUGGCCUUGUGGAGGUAGGUUUGAGCUCAUGGUGGAUUUUUUUAAAGCUUUGAAGAAAAUUUGGAAGUGUUGUUUAUGCAUUAAAUGAGUAUGAAAUGUGAAAUUUGAUAGCAUGUUAUUAUAUUGUAGGAUUGCAAAUUGCAUACAGGACAUGCAAGAACCCACAGGCAUGAUGCAUAUGAUCAUUGACUUCUAUAAGCAAGUUGCAAGACGCUAUCUCGUCAUUCAGAUUUACAUUUGAAGCUUUUAAAUAUCAAACUCUAAUCAAAAACAGUUUUUAAUGAUCAAAUUGGUAUUUUUAAUUAUUUAUCAUGACUAAAUAGGUUUCUUUGGAGUUGGUACAUCUAGAUUUAAUUUUUUGUGAUGUGAAUGAAAAGUUGGGUUAGCGAUAAUUACAUAAUGAGAUAGUGUUAAAAAGUGAAAUCUAGGCUGACUUUAGAAAGUUGUGAGUAAAAUUACUCGUAACCAAUUAAAAUCAAUUAUGUAUACUGUGUAGUGCACUUGUCAUUUUAAAAGUGGAGCUUAAGUUGUGUUUGUUUUUUUGUAGUGUUUGAUGUUCAUCAAUUUUGGUUUUGUUUUAUAUGUAGCCUUUGGUCUUGUUUUGAUGGUAGCUAAAGAGAAUCAAAGUAGUUGAAUAUUUUUUGGUACUUGAUUCUAUUUUUUAUUACAAAUGAGCGAGAGUUUAUGAACAAGAUGAGAAAACUAAAGAAAAACAAUUAGCUAAUUGUUUAACAAACAUAAAAAAUAACUAACUCUUAUUUUGACUAACUAAAUGACUUUGACUAUUAUUCUCUAUUGAGCCCUUUGCAAACUCAUGGGUGAAUAAUCAUGAACUUUGAAUUUGUGUCUACAUUGUAAGAACAUAUCAGUAGUAGAAGGCUGGAGAGAACAUAUGUUGUUUGGUUAGAUGACAAAACGUGAUGAACAAUGAGCCCUUGUUUUGAAUCUUUUCUCUAAUCAUAUAAUGUAGGCCUGGUUUUAGUAACAUAUACAUUUUAGUCGACAAACAAUGGAUCGAUAAAGACUAGUAUUAGGAUUGUCAAUGCAGAACAUGUGACAAAUAACUUUGUAGUAGUAGUCACAGGAGUUUUCAUGGAAUUGGCGGUAGUCAUAUUUUCUCACUGGAGUAAAUUAUGAAUAUAUUUAUCUUCCAAUUUGAACUUUGGAGCAAGAAAAAUAAAAUAAAAAAUUACUCCACUUUAUUAAAUUAAAAAACUUACUAAACAUAAAUUGUACUCUAGGAGGAAGGACUCUACUUGAAUGAACGGACUACAACUUGCUAAACAUAAAAUAAAAUAAAAAUAAAUAAUUUCAACGGCCUCUUCUACAUCUUUCAUAAUAUCGAAAGAGAAACCUUCCGAUUCAUGGAUGUGAUGAUGUUUUUUAUAAUUACAAUAUUUGAAAAUCAAAUUUACAAAGAAAUUUAAAUGAUUUGCUGUGUUACUUCCAAGACUGGAGAAUUUUUGUGUUGACUAAUUAAAUCUCGUUUGGGUACUCACAAAAUAUUUAUACUUUGUUGGCUAAUUCAAUAUCAUUUGGAUACUCACAAGAUGUUUAUGCUUUUCAAAUGGUGUAAGAUACCAAAUAUUCCUUCAAGUUAUCAUGCACUCCAAAAUUUGGUGGUGUGCCUCGUUGAUUUUUAGUUAUUAUCCUAUGGUAGUUAAACAUUUUAUCUUUCUUCAUAUGCUUAGUUAAAUAUUUUUAAUUCUUUGUGUUUCUAUAGUAGUAAAACAAUUAUCAUUCUCUUUGAUCUUAUAUCUUCUUAUAGUUAGUCAUUUCUCUUAGUGUUUUCAUCUUAAUAUGGUUAAGCUUGUUAGCCAAAUUUGACAUCUGAACAUCCAAGAUUGAGGUUUUUGAUUCUACAUUGAAGUAAAUAUUGCGGAGACAUUAGAAGAUUUUCAAGUUAUCUCAAAGUAAGUAGAAUAAUUAAACGAAAGUUAUGCACCUCAGUCGCUACCACUUUCUACAUCAACUUUCUUGUUUUGCUGAUGUGAUUACGACAUAUUCUUUUUCUUAUAAUUUUAUUUUAUCAAUUAUAUUGUAUUUUAUUUGUUCUGAUAUUGUACUAUUCAUUCCAAGUUAAAAAUGUUAUUAUACACUUCCAACUUGCAGAAACUCUUAUAUAUUGUUAGAUUUAGUUUAAUAUGAUUUAAGAUAGUUAUAUUUAGUUAUGGUUAAGUGAAAUUUUAUUAGAUUAAUUAUAUUAAAAACACUAUAUAUCUUUCAUAGUGACAACAGUAAGAGUGACAACCUAUCAUCUCUUAUUCGUCAUCUCAAUCUAAAUAUCAUACAAUGUCAUCAACAAUUUGUGAGAUUAAAUAUGAUUAAUCUUCAUCCUAAAUGAACUUCAGUACCUUAUAUCAAACCUUCUCUUAUUCACAAUAUCAUACCAUAAAAGGAUCAAAUAAUUAGAUUCUGAUCUUGUUCGUAGAAACCUAAGCAAAAACUCUUUCAUCUCUUUCUAAUUUCAUCAUCUCAACAACAAUGUAGUUUUACUAAGCCAUUAGACCCUUACCUUUCUAUAUAGAGUUUCAUUUCCAUGUUGGGAUUAAAGGAUAUGUACUCUCCAGCCUGUUAGAAAUAUUACAUGUUAAUAACUGUAAUUAGUAAUGUUUAUUAUCUAGUUAGUUAGGUGGUUAUCCCCUAACUACUUUCUGUUGGUGUAGUUGAUAACCUAUUUGUUAGUAUAGUAGUUAGGUUGUAUGUAUAAAUACUUGUACAAUUAUUGUUACGAUGCAGUUUACAUUUCAUUAAUGAUAAUGAGGUAUUACCCAAUAUCCUCUCUCUUAGUUGUAAUAUUGUAAGCACACAUCCAUCGAUCAAAAAUCUUAUUUAUUUAUAUAUAUUGUAUUUUGUCUUCAAAUUAUCUUGAUUAAUGUUUUAUUUAGGUAUUUAGUUCUCACAAAUUAUCAUCCUCAAAUUUGACGGUAUUUGCAAUAGUUAAGGAAUUAAUAGUCAAGGGACCAAGUUCAAUUCAUUCUUUAGCAUAUUGCUUAAUUUAAAGUGAAUUAUAGUUGAGACCUUUAAGUCGAUCAACUCAACAAAUUUUUGAGUUAGAAAUCAAAUUUGACAUGUCUAGUGGAACCUAGCGGCUAGUAGAAUUGAGAAAUUUAGUUAACCAAAUCACAAUUGUUUUUGACAUAUGCAUUUGAAGUCUAAGUCUUAUGAAUCAUAUGUAUCAUCAAAGAUGUCAAAAACCAAAUGAGCCACAAUAUGUGACACUCUUUACUCCAAAAUCACUUAUUUGUUGAUAUUUGCAACAAAAAAAAAAUAUUUUUAAAAUAAGUAAAAAUUGAGAAUAAAUAAAAAAUUUCAUGUUGAUAGAGUACCACGAUAUUUCUCAACAUAUACCAAAAAUAACAUUGGAUUAAUUUGAAUAUUUAAUAACAAAAUUCUUAAAUCUCAUACAUGUGCUUUGAGUUUAAACAAACAAGUGUGUUCAUUGCAACUAAAACUCUAAUAAAGACACACUUUCUAUGUUGAUGUUGCAUGAGCGAGAUCAAAUCCGAAUCAUAUUGUCGAAAAAUUCACUAGUUAGAUAUUUAUCUAUGAUUAAAUUUGGUAGACUUCUCAUAAAAUUAAAAAUCAUUAAGUAAGUAUAUAUUGUAUACUGAAAUUUAAUUUGAACUUGUGAAUAAUAAGCCUAAAAAAGGGAAAAUUAAACUUUAAGCAUCUCAAUCUGUAUGUCUCAAAUCUAAAUUUCCAAAAACAAAAAGAUGAAUUUCAAAACAUCAAUUGAAUGUUAGAGAUACAAUUUGUGUUCUUGUAUGUGUGACUAUGUAUCUUUGUACAAGAGUAUAUUCUGUUUACAACAAAACUAUACACAAAACAAAAAAGGGAAAUAAUUAAAUGUCAUCCACAUGGAUGAAUCAAAAUGGCUUCUUAAGGUGCAUGAAAUCCAAUGAUGAUGAAUCAACACACUCAGCUUUGCUCUUAUAACCAUUCAACAAUUUCAACAACUCAGCAGCUUUCUCCUUUGUAUUCUCACCACAACCAACUUGCAGUAAAACAAGCAAUUUCUGAAACAUCCCAACUUGAAUUGCCUCAAUCAAAACACCU
RNAcentral lists this long non-coding RNA (5322 nucleotides) under Cicer arietinum (chickpea). Its description in RNAcentral is "long non-coding RNA (CARI_LNC000550)". The record is from RNAcentral. Lineage: Eukaryota; Viridiplantae; Streptophyta; Magnoliopsida; Fabales; Fabaceae.